GGAUGGUCAGACAUACGGAUAUGCUGAUCUGAACUUGAUCAGUUGGAUAUCAUACCUACUGAUUUAGAAGAGACCUAAAUCUAAAUCUUUUCACUAAAUAUUAAGUCUAGAGGUCUUCCAUCAUUGUAGAGAUGCGGAUGCCUUCCAGAAGUUGAUCGUUCUCGAUUAGUUAUAGUGCUUUGGUUGCAUUAGAAAGGUACAAACACUCUAUUGAUAUUUGAUGCCUCAAGAUAAAGAUAGG
RNAcentral lists this long non-coding RNA (241 nucleotides) under Elaeis guineensis (African oil palm). RNAcentral describes it as "long non-coding RNA (EGUI_LNC066671)". Lineage: Eukaryota; Viridiplantae; Streptophyta; Magnoliopsida; Arecales; Arecaceae. The record is from RNAcentral.